GCGGUAAUACGGAGGGUGCGAGCGUUAAUCGGAAUUACUGGGCGUAAAGCGCAUGCAGGUGGUUUGUUAAGUCAGAUGUGAAAGACCCGGGGCGUCAACCUACGGAAUAGCAUUUGUAAACUAGGCAGACUAGAGUACUGUAGAGGGGGGUAGGAAUUUCAGGUGUAGCGGUGAAAUGCGUAGAGAUCUGAAGGAAUACCGGUGGCGAAGGCGGCCCCCUCGGACAGAUACUGACACUCAGAUGCGAAAGCGUGGGGAGCAAACAGGAUUAGAUACCCUGGUAG
This 284-nucleotide ribosomal RNA is filed under the name uncultured bacterium. RNAcentral describes it as "partial 16S ribosomal RNA". It matches the Rfam family "Bacterial small subunit ribosomal RNA", at positions 517 to 793 of the family's 1533-position model. The record is from RNAcentral.